Molecule: long non-coding RNA, 845 nt
Filed under: Vulpes vulpes (red fox)
Lineage: Eukaryota; Metazoa; Chordata; Mammalia; Carnivora; Canidae
Description: lncRNA (ENSVVUG00000007111.1)
Source: RNAcentral
GAAAUUCUUUCAGGGAGUGUAAAACAGUACAAGUGGUGGCAGUCUUGCAGGAAAUUGUAUCCAGGCCAGGUGAGUUCUGAUACCUAUAACUUCUUCAGUGGAAUUGAUGUCUUUGUGACAAAACAUUCCGUCAUCACAACCCUUAUUUAUGCUGCAAUUUAGAGAGCUCUAGGCUUGCAGUAUCUACCAUAUUAUAAAGCACUUUAAAACUCCACCUGUGCCCAGAACCCUCCCCACAAACAACCAAGGGCUUUGUCUGUCCCAGCUGAAAUGCCAGCUAACGGGCCAUUGGUGGGGUUUGGGCUUUCCCAAUGAGAAUAUGUGGGUAUAAAUGACUAAGAGACCAAGGCACGCUGGAGAAUCACAAGGGGCUCCUGAGUACCCAGACUAGUGGGAGACAGAGUCACAUGACAACAUUGAAGAAUCGAACCCUCAUGAAUCUGCUCCAAGGCAGGGAUAACAGCAAUUUUCUCUCUCUCCUAUGAAUUAAACUUCCAUUUCCCUUGGUGGCCAGAUCAAGUUACUGAAAGACAAUUUACUUAUCUGGAAAAUGGACUGUGGAGCUAUUCACCAUCUCCAGAAGGAACUGUUUAUGUCCAGAAGCUAUCUGGGCCAAUAAAUUUCCUGACAUGGGAGUCUCCUAAAAUGAUUCAUUCUUCCACCUGUGAAACAAGAACCAAGCUCUCCCACUUCAAGACUAAGCAAGUAGACAGAUCAGCCAGACAGAGAAGUGAGGUGAGAAGAUGGGAGGUGGGCAUCCAUGGCAAAGAAAACAACUGCCUCAUUUCUUCCUCUUUCCCACACCAUCCCCUUUCUUCCUGUUCUGGACACCUAGAACCCCAUCC